UGGGGAAUAUUGCACAAUGGGCGCAAGCCUGAUGCAGCCAUGCCGCGUGUGUGAAGAAGGCCUUCGGGUUGUAAAGCACUUUCAGCGGGGAGGAAGGCGGUGAGGUUAAUAACCUCAUCGAUUGACGUUACCCGCAGAAGAAGCACCGGCUAACUCCGUGCCAGCAGCCGCGGUAAUACGGAGGGUGCAAGCGUUAAUCGGAAUUACUGGGCGUAAAGCGCACGCAGGCGGUCUGUCAAGUCGGAUGUGAAAUCCCCGGGCUCAACCUUGGAACUGCAUUCGAAUCUGGCAGGCUAGAGUCUUGUAGAUGGGGGUAGCAUUCCAGGUAUAGCGGUGAACUGCGUAGCGAUCUGCAGGAAUACCGGUGGCGAAGGCGGCCCCCUGGACAAAGACUGACGCUCAGGUGCGAAAGCGUGGGGAGCAAACAGG
Molecule: ribosomal RNA, 429 nt
Filed under: Chloroflexota bacterium
Lineage: Bacteria; Bacillati; Chloroflexota
Description: Chloroflexi bacterium partial 16S ribosomal RNA
Rfam family: Bacterial small subunit ribosomal RNA
Source: RNAcentral